Molecule: long non-coding RNA, 644 nt
Organism: Ipomoea nil (Japanese morning glory)
Lineage: Eukaryota; Viridiplantae; Streptophyta; Magnoliopsida; Solanales; Convolvulaceae
Exons: 3
Source: RefSeq, a predicted model, not a curated record
CUCCCUCAAGCUCAAAAGAAGAGCAGUUGCGUCGCCUCUCUCUCUCUCGUUGAUGGCAGUGCAACAACCAAGCGGCGGCGACAGCUUCCGGCGGCGGGAUGAUCGACAGUGGUGUCUACAGUAGUCUCCUCCGGCGACCUUGGUGAGCAGCGGCAACUCUUCCCCUGUUUUCCGGCAGUUUGUGGCGUCAGGCAGUGCGCAGUUUUGGCGGUGUACAAAGCUGACGGUAGGGAUAGCGUCGGCGGUGGUGGGUGAUCUUUUCCCGGCGAAGCUGGUGGCAGAACGUGGAUGUCGUCUUGGCUUGGUGGCUUCGGCACACCGGCGGGUGGAGGAAACGCCCGUGGUUCCACCCUCUGUUUCCCAGCAUGAAGAAGACGAAGAAGGAUGGUUCCCGUUUGGCUUAUGAGUUGAGCCUAGCCUUUGUUGGAGUUGUUUUUGGUUGGAUAAGCGAUUGAGGUUGGGUAGCCUUGGAGAGCGCGCUAGUGGCCUGUAGAUAGUGUUAUCUCUUCCUGUAUUAGUUGUUGAGGCCUGUGAGCCUAUGUGGUUGAGUUGUUAGACUGUUGUAGUUGUAGUAUCUGCCUGUGCACCUAUGUUUGAUAUAGGUGUGGCAUAGCAUCUCCCGGUUGAUGUAGUUAGCUUCCGCU